RNAcentral lists this long non-coding RNA (319 nucleotides) under Monodelphis domestica (gray short-tailed opossum). RNAcentral's name for it is "lncRNA (ENSMODG00000037826.1)". Lineage: Eukaryota; Metazoa; Chordata; Mammalia; Didelphimorphia; Didelphidae. The record is from RNAcentral.
CAGAGAGUGAUUCUUGAGACAGAGCUGGUAGUAGAAUCCAGCCUUAUCAAUCUAGUACAGAGAGAAGCAGUGAAGGAGAAAAUCAGCUUAAAGAACAAGUUUAAAGGGAUAUUCAACUAAGUGGAUGGCAUAAAGGUACGAAACCAGGAGGAAGAAUACAUUCAGAGUGAAGAUUGAAAAUAUCGGCAAAAGAAAAGAACCAAUAUUCUGUUUUUACCAUUAAAGAUAGUGGGCCUGCCAGAUAUGGACUCCAGUAUUAUUAUCAGAGUAAAUGGCACUGAAUAAUAAAACACAUGAGAAAGAAAGCUAAACUAGAGCA